UGCCGUGUCAGUGGAGGCCAAUCCAUC
RNAcentral lists this small RNA (27 nucleotides) under Bombyx mori (domestic silkworm). RNAcentral describes it as "ovarian small RNA-33815". Lineage: Eukaryota; Metazoa; Arthropoda; Insecta; Lepidoptera; Bombycidae. The record is from RNAcentral.